Molecule: ribosomal RNA, 460 nt
Filed under: Zalaria obscura
Lineage: Eukaryota; Fungi; Ascomycota; Dothideomycetes; Dothideales; Zalariaceae
Description: partial large subunit ribosomal RNA
Rfam family: Eukaryotic large subunit ribosomal RNA
Source: RNAcentral
AGGAUGCUUUUGGGCAGCCACCGGUCUAAGUUCCUUGGAACAGGACGUCAUAGAGGGUGAGAAUCCCGUAUGUGACUGGACAGGCACCCUUUGUAAAGCUCCUUCGACGAGUCGAGUUGUUUGGGAAUGCAGCUCUAAAUGGGAGGUAAAUUUCUUCUAAAGCUAAAUACCGGCCAGAGACCGAUAGCGCACAAGUAGAGUGAUCGAAAGAUGAAAAGCACUUUGGAAAGAGAGUUAAAAAGCACGUGAAAUUGUUGAAAGGGAAGGGCUUGCAAUUAGACUUGCCCGCAGUUGUUCAGCUGGUCUUCUGACCGGUUUAUUCUUCUGCGGGCAGGCCAGCAUCAGUUUCGGCGGCCGGAUAAAGGCUCUGGGAAUGUGGCUGUCCUUCGGGGCAGUGUUAUAGCCCAGGGUGUAAUACGGCCAGCCGGGACUGAGGUCCGCGCUUCGGCUAGGAUGCUGG